AUCUAGGCUCUUGCAUCGAUGAAGAACGUAGCGAAAUGCGAUACUUGGUGUGAAUUGCAGAAUCCCGUGAACCAUCGAGUCUUUGAACGCAAGUUGCGCCCGAUGCCAUUAGGUUGAGGGCACGUCUGCCUGGGCGUCACAUAUCGAAGCCUCUUGCCAAUUUC
RNAcentral lists this ribosomal RNA (164 nucleotides) under Trifolium glomeratum. RNAcentral's name for it is "5.8S ribosomal RNA". The stretch from base 1 to 139 matches the Rfam family "5.8S ribosomal RNA", at positions 18 to 154 of the family's 154-position model. Rfam says of the family: 5.8S ribosomal RNA (5.8S rRNA) is a component of the large subunit of the eukaryotic ribosome. It is transcribed by RNA polymerase I as part of the 45S precursor that also contains 18S and 28S rRNA. Functionally, it is thought that 5.8S rRNA may be involved in ribosome translocation. Lineage: Eukaryota; Viridiplantae; Streptophyta; Magnoliopsida; Fabales; Fabaceae. The record is from RNAcentral.